UUGUUCGGAAUUACUGGGCGUAAAGGGUCCGUAGGCGGUUUGAUAAGUCAGUGGUGAAAUCUUUCGGCUCAACCGGGAAAUGGCCAUUGAUACUGUCAGACUUGAAUUAUUAGGAAGUAACUAGAAUAUGUAGUGUAGCGGUGAAAUGCUUAGAGAUUACAUGGAAUACCAAUUGCGAAGGCAGGUUACUACUAAUGGAUUGACGCUGAUGGACGAAAGCGUGGGUAGCGAACAGG
Molecule: ribosomal RNA, 236 nt
Filed under: uncultured bacterium
Lineage: Bacteria
Description: partial 16S ribosomal RNA
Rfam family: Bacterial small subunit ribosomal RNA
Source: RNAcentral